GCACAAGCAGGAGAGAGAGCUGGAGAGGUGGGUCAGGGUGCCUGGCACAGCCGGGAUAGGGGACCUGCCGGGCUCCUCCUCUUGCAUAAUCGAGGAAGUUGGCUUUCUCAUCGCUCAGGAGCUCCAGGCCAGCCCGGGGAAGCCCCAGCAGCCCCAGCGGGAAGGGCUGGCGCUGUCCCGUGCCUGCAGCACCUCUGUACUUGCAGAGCUCCCUGGAGUGGCCACCGCCGCGCGGCUCCCACCCCGGAAGGCCCCCAGCAGACUGGCGAGUACCGUGCCCUGGGGAGGGAGCCACCUACAAGCAGACCCGGCGGGGGCGGCUGCCGUAGCCGGGCCUGGGACAGGCGUUCUGGUUCCUUCCAGAACCUAUUGCCCCUGUGGGCACACACACAACGCACCCCUUGAACGAUCUCCCGCCUUUGGACAUGACAGGGCGCUUGGCUCACCUCCGUGGCUACUCUCUUUGAAAAAGGCAAGGCAGUGCAGGGGGGUGGGGGGGAGUGGGAGGGGAGAGCGGAGGUGGGGUUGCACCCUGGGUGGGUGGGGGAGCAUUCCACUCCUGCCUCUCUGCUAGCUGGAAGCUGGGCCCUGCUGGAGAGAGUGGGGACGCACGUGUGCUGAGCUAAGCAGCUUGUGGAACCAGCAGUCGCCCUCUGUUCCUGCCCAGGCCUGGCUCAGAGUCCACCUCCCGUCAGGUCUUUCAGGGACCCUGUCUCCAGCAAUCUCGAGGUGCAGAGCUCCAGAGAAGGCGAGGCCUGGAGCUGGCCCUGCACACAGUAGGAGCCCUCUGAGUGAGCGCUCUCCGAGGGAGGAGAGAAGGCGUGAAUUCAUGUCUGGCUUUGACCUGUGGAAAUUACGUCCCUAGGAACCCAGGCUGCUCAGUUUUUAGUUUCCUGCGGUCAGCAGCGAUCUUGUCAUCAGACAUUUAUGAAGGGGGAAACAGAUGACCACGGAGAGACAGGCAAGCCUGCUUCUUCCCAGGGCGUGACUAGAGCGUGCAUGUGGGUAGGGCUGUGUGCGUGCCAUCCCGGUACCGAGGGCCAGAGCUCGUGGACAGAGAUAACCAGCGGCGUGGUCUUCCUUCCCCCAGGCUGCCUCGGGUUGCAGUGGAAGCAGGAACAAACCUUUCUGAGCACCUACUGUGCGCUCAGAGCAUUUUCAGCUCCUCUCCCUCGUGGCCCCGGGAGGCAGCUGUCAGGAGCUGGAGAGCAGCUCUCCUACUGCCCGGGAGACUCAGAGACGAGCCUGGCUGGGCCGAGGUCACACAGCUGGUGGAUGCGGGGCUGGCCCUGGGACUUGGACAUUGGUCCCUCCAGCAAAAACCAGAGACUCCCCUCUCAGUUCUCACUGCCCUCCCGCCAAGAUGCCUCUCUAAGAAUUUAGAAGAGUAUUUCUGGAAUGAGGACAGCCGUGAAGCUGCCAGGGGUCCACGUGGAGCCCCUGGGUCUGUAUGGGAAGGGCCACCAGGAAGGACCCGCCGGCAGGAAGGCCAGGGCACUGCGACAGGGUUGGCCCUCUUCCCCUGCACCCCCAAAGCUCCCUCUCUGCCCUCUGCACUAAGAGUAAAUAUCUUAGCCUGUCCAGCAGCUGAAGCCACUGCGUGGGACCGAGGGUGCUCAGGAGUGACGAUGAAACGUCUGGCUAUGGGGCUGGAGCAGGUGCCUGGCGUGGUUGCAGGACUACCAAGCUUUGUCCCAGCUCUGCUAUGCACACUGUGUGGCCUUGGACAAGUCCUUCCCCUUCCUUGGCUUCCCUGAAAAGCUUUUCCGCGUUCCCAUUGACCGAGAAGGGUGCUCUCAGCUCUGAAAGCCUCAGGCACUCAGAACCAACCGGACCCAAGUUUAGAGCUCCCCAAGACAGGCCUGCAACCUCUUGCUCCCUGCUUGGGACCCUCUGCUCUCUCCCUUCUGGGAAACCAGUUGCCUCCCUGUUGCCACCAGCCUGGGCCCACCAGGUUUCAGGAAGUUCUGCUUGCAGCCCCAGUGGAAGGGACACAGUGUCUUGGUUGAAGCACAUACCAUGUGGGCGGCUUAGCAGAGCGAGUAGCUGGCAAGAUGGGGCUGGCCGGGCCGGGGGGUGUUGAUGUCCGGAGUUGGCAGGGCGUGAGGGGCUGGGGAGGGUUUGGCCCCAAAGCCAGCCUGGGUUGGGGAUUUAGGGACUGAAGAGAUUCGGACAUUCCCAUCAUCAUUUGUCCCCAGAGCUGCAGGUCUGGGCUGCCCCCAUUCAGGCCUGGGGCCACUCAGCCUCAGGGCCUCUUUCUGGUGGGUGGUCUGGGCCUCCUGCCAUCAGCCAGAGCUCACCCUGAGCCAGCAGGGCCUGCCACCACCCACACCUCCAACCCCACGCUGGGUCUCCGCAACGGCAGCCUCGGCCCUGCAGGACCAGCUGCCCUGGUGUCCACGGCUUCCCUGGGAGGACAACCCUUGCCGGUUCUCCCCCUCCCUCUGCCUCAGCCCAUUCCGAGAGAUUUAUAUCUCCCAUAUAAACCGUACUUGUAAAAGAAUAAUUCAUGGGCCCUCUUUGUUAUUAAUCUGGGGGUAAUCCGGCCAGGGUCAGCGAGGCCCACGGAACUGCUGGAAUUCCAGCUGAAAGUAGACAUCGUUCUGUCAAGGCACCCUCGUCAAGAGGCCAUGGGAGUCCUGCUGGACUUUCCGAAAGAAGGAAGCCAACUCAGGGACUCAGCAUCCAGGAUGAAAAUCUCUGCACUCCCAGUUUUUGAGUUCCCUCCAAAGUGCUAAGGGCCCAAUUCCCCAAAUGGCCUUUCAGGGGUGUGGGGUAAACACACACUCACUGAGUAUUUAAUAUAUUGUGCUAACUAAUUCACAUGCCUUAUCUCCAUCGAUGGACACAAUACAACUAAGAGGUGGGUACUGGAAUUAGUCCCCACUUUAUAAAUGAGGAAACGGAGGCUCACGACUUGCCCAAUGCAGACAGCUAGCAAGUGGCCGAGCCAAGGUUAUGAAGCGGAUCUGCUGAAUGUCAAAGCC
Molecule: long non-coding RNA, 2987 nt
Organism: Ailuropoda melanoleuca (giant panda)
Lineage: Eukaryota; Metazoa; Chordata; Mammalia; Carnivora; Ursidae
Exons: 4
Source: RefSeq, a predicted model, not a curated record